CAGCCACACUGGGAUUGAGAUACGGCCCAGACUCCUACGGGAGGCAGCAGCAAGGAAUUUUGUGCAAUGGGCGAAAGCCUGACACAGCGACGCCGCGUGGGGGAUGAAGGCCUUCGGGUUGUAAACCCCUUUUCUCAGGGAAGAAUAAUGACGGUACCUGGGGAAUAAGUCUUGGCUAACUACGUGCCAGCAGCCGCGGUAAUACGUAGGAGGCGAGCGUUAUCCGGAUUUACUGGGCGUAAAGAGGGCGUAGGCAGUUUUUCAAGUCGAUUGUAAAAUCUCCCGGCUUAACUGGGAGGGGCCAGUCGAUACUGUUAGACUAGAGAGCAGCAGGGGGAGGUGGAAUUCCCGGUGUAGUGGUGAAAUGUGUAGAUAUCGGGAGGAACACCAGUGGCGAAGGCGGCCUCCUAGGCUGUUUCUGACGCUGAGGUCCGAAAGCGUGGGGAGCAAACAGGAUCAGAUACCCUGGUAGUCCACGCUGUAAACUAUGGACACUAGGUAUAGGGAGUAUCGACCCUCUCUGUGCCGAAGCUAACGCAUUAAGUGUCCCGCCUGGGGAGUACGGCCGCAAGGCUAAAACUCAAAGGAAUUGACGGGGGCCCGCACAAGCAGCGGAGCGUGUGGUUUAAUUCGAUGCAACGCGAAGAACCUUACCAAGGCUUGACAUGUCGGAAGUAGCGACCCGAAAGGGAAGCCACCUGUUGAGUCAGGAACCGUCACAGGUGCUGCAUGGCUGUCGUCAGCUCGUGCUGUGAAGUGUUAGGUUAAGUCCUGUAACGAGCGCAACCCUCGUUGCCAGUUGUUUUCUCUGGCGAGACUGCCCUGCAAAAUGGGGAGGAAGGUGGGGAUGACGUCAAGUCAGCACGGCCCUUAUGCCUUGGGCUACACACACGCUACA
Molecule: ribosomal RNA, 898 nt
Filed under: marine sediment metagenome
Description: SSU rRNA
Rfam family: Bacterial small subunit ribosomal RNA
Source: RNAcentral